RNAcentral lists this ribosomal RNA (1149 nucleotides) under Ixodes persulcatus (taiga tick). Its description in RNAcentral is "bacterial LSU rRNA". It matches the Rfam family "Bacterial large subunit ribosomal RNA", at positions 1769 to 2925 of the family's 2925-position model. Lineage: Eukaryota; Metazoa; Arthropoda; Arachnida; Ixodida; Ixodidae. The record is from RNAcentral.
CACGCCGGUCGAAGAUACCAGGCCGCUGCGACUGUUUAUUAAAAACACAGCACUCUGCAAACACGAAAGUGGACGUAUAGGGUGUGACGCCUGCCCGGUGCCGGAAGGUUAAUUGAUGGGGUUAGCGCAAGCGAAGCUCUUGAUCGAAGCCCCGGUAAACGGCGGCCGUAACAAUAACGGUCCUAAGGUAGCGAAAUUCCUUGUCGGGUAAGUUCCGACCUGCAUGAAUGGCGUAACGACUUCCCCAUUGUCUCCAAUAUUACCUCAGCGAAAUUGAAUUCUCCGUGAAGAUGCGGAGUGCCCGCGGUUAGACGGAAAGACCCCGUGAACCUUUACUAUAGCUUUGCAUUGGUGUUAGGAAUUAAAUGUGUAGGAUAGGUGGGAGACUAUGAAGCAGAGGUGCUAGCUUUUGUGGAGUCAUCCUUGAGAUACCACCCUUUUAAUUUUUGACAUCUAACCACGACCUGUGAAUCCAGGUCUGAGACAGUGCAUGGUGGGUAGUUUGACUGGGGCGGUCGCCUCCCAAAGAGUAACGGAGGCGUGCGAAGGUAAGCUCAGGCUGGUCGGAAAUCAGCUGUAAGAGUGCAAUGGCAUAAGCUUGCCUGACUGCGAGAUUGACAAGUCGAGCAGAGACGAAAGUCGGUCAUAGUGAUCUGGUGGUCCCGCGUGGAAGGGCCAUCACUCAACGAAUAAAAGGUACUCCGGGGAUAACAGGCUGAUGAGCUCCAAGAGCCCAUAUCGACGAGCUCGUUUGGCACCUCGAUGUCGACUCAUCACAUCCUGGGGCUGUAGAAGGUCCCAAGGGUUCGGCUGUUCGCCGAUUAAAGUGGUACGUGAGUUGGGUUCAGAACGUCGUGAGACAGUUCGGUCCCUAUCUGCCGUGGGUGUAAGGAAAAUUGAGAAGAUCUGACUUUAGUACGAGAGGACCGAGUUGGACAUACCACUGGUGUACCAGUUGUUCCGCCAGGAGCAGCGCUGGGUAGCUAUGUAUGGAAGGGAUAACCGCUGAAUGCAUCUAAGCGGGAAACCCACUUCAAAACUAGUUUUCCCAAUUAGUGCCGUGAAAGACUAUCACGUUGAUAGGCUGGAUGUGUAAGCAGAGCAAUCUGUGUAGCUAACCAGUACUAAUAGCACGAUUGAUUUAAUGUU